CCUACGGGUGGCUGCAGUGAGGAAUAUUGGUCAAUGGGCGCGAGCCUGAACCAGCCAAGUAGCGUGAAGGAUGACUGCCCUCCGGGUUGUAAACUUCUUUUAUAAAGGAAUAAAGUGCGGUACGUGUGCGUUUUUGCAUGUACUUUAUGAAUAAGGAUCGGCUAAUUCCGUGCCAGCAGCCGCGGUAAUACGGAGGAUCCGGGCGUUAUCCGGAUUUAUUGGGUUUAAAGGGAGCGUAGAUGGGUUGUUAAGUCAGUUGUGAAAGGUUGCGGCUCAACCGUAAAAUUGCAAUUGAUACUGGCAGUCUUGAGUACAGUUGAGGUAGGCGGAAUUCGUGGUGUAGCGGUGAAAUGCUUAGAUAUCACGAAGAACUCCGAUUGCGAAGGCAGCUUACUAAACUGCCACUGACAUUGAUGCUCGAAAGUGUGGGUAUCAAACAGGAUUGGAUACCCCGGUAGUC
RNAcentral lists this ribosomal RNA (460 nucleotides) under uncultured bacterium. RNAcentral describes it as "partial 16S ribosomal RNA". It matches the Rfam family "Bacterial small subunit ribosomal RNA", at positions 338 to 795 of the family's 1533-position model. The record is from RNAcentral.